UACGUAGGUGGCGAGCGUUAUCCGGAUUUAUUGGGCGUAAAGGGUGCGUAGGCGGUCAUUUAAGUUUGUGGUGAAAGCGUAGAGCUCAACUCUAUUAAGCCACAAAAACUGGACGGCUAGAGUGCAGCAGAGGCAAGUGGAAUUCCAUGUGGAGCGGUAAAAUGUGUAGAUAUAUGGAGGAACACCAGUGGCGAAGGCGGCUUGCUGGGCUGUAACUGACGCUGAGGCACGAAAGCGUGGGGAGC
Molecule: ribosomal RNA, 245 nt
Filed under: uncultured Erysipelotrichaceae bacterium
Lineage: Bacteria; Bacillati; Bacillota; Erysipelotrichia; Erysipelotrichales; Erysipelotrichaceae
Description: partial 16S ribosomal RNA
Rfam family: Bacterial small subunit ribosomal RNA
Source: RNAcentral